UACGGAGGGUGCAAGCGUUAAUCGGAAUUACUGGGCGUAAAGCGCGUGUAGGCGGUUUGGUAAGUCGGGUGUGAAAGACCGGAGCUCAACUCCGGAACUGCAUUCGAUACUGGCAGGCUAGAGUCCCGGAGAGGGUGGUGGAAUUCCCGGUGUAGAGGUGAAAUUCGUAGAGAUCGGGAGGAACACCAGCGGCGAAGGCGGCCACCUGGACGGUGACUGACGCUGAGACGCGAAAGCGUGGGGAGCAAACAGG
This 253-nucleotide ribosomal RNA is filed under the name uncultured bacterium. Its description in RNAcentral is "partial 16S ribosomal RNA". It matches the Rfam family "Bacterial small subunit ribosomal RNA", at positions 524 to 776 of the family's 1533-position model. The record is from RNAcentral.